This 98-nucleotide signal recognition particle RNA is filed under the name Planctomycetes bacterium GWF2_50_10. RNAcentral describes it as "signal recognition particle sRNA small type". It matches the Rfam family "Bacterial small signal recognition particle RNA". Rfam says of the family: The signal recognition particle (SRP) is a universally conserved ribonucleoprotein involved in the co-translational targeting of proteins to membranes. Lineage: Bacteria; Pseudomonadati; Planctomycetota. The record is from RNAcentral.
GGCCGGGUCCCAGGCAAGCUGAGCACGCGAACCUGGUCAGGCGGGGAACCGAGCAGCCAUAAGCGAUCGCUCGACUGUGUUUGGCAAACCCGGCCACC